Molecule: long non-coding RNA, 545 nt
Filed under: Heterocephalus glaber (naked mole-rat)
Lineage: Eukaryota; Metazoa; Chordata; Mammalia; Rodentia; Bathyergidae
Description: lncRNA (ENSHGLG00000041956.1)
Source: RNAcentral
CCGAAACUUGAACUGGCGCUUGACGCCUGACGCCUCGCCCUUGGAGGUUCGCCCUUCGCCGGAGCUUCACCUCUUCACACACAGCGCCAAAAUGAAUAAACAGCUGUCUACCACCACGGCGGCGGCGCUUGUAGGUGGCACCAGGGACGCAGGAUGAACAUGCUGCAUUUCUCAAGAUUCACCAGCGUUUACUCAUGCUAAAGCUCAUAGGACUGUAGAUCUUAACAUCCCUAUGAGGGAGAGGACAAAGGAAACCACUCUGUCUAAGAAAAGCAGACACUAAGAUGCAGCACAGAAGAGAGAAUUUUGCCAUGCUUAUGAAUUUCUUAUGGAUUAACAUUAAAUUAAAUGAGUUAUUAAAUGUGAAACACUAGAGCCUGCUGCAGACAGGCAGGCCUGCACACACCCAACUGAGGUCACGAGUCACGCAGAACACGCCAAAUCAGCCCGCUGCAGACAGGCAGCCACCUGGUUCCACACUACAAAGACGCAGAGGACACCAGACCACCAGACCAAGGUACUGAGUCCCGCUGCUCCUGGCCCAG